GAAAUAUCACAUUGACAUAGGUAUUCACACUCUUUGCUAUGACUCUUGAAAUUUGGCUCAGGUGCUUCCAAUUUCUCUUGAUCAUUUUGAGAUGUUUCUACACCUUGAUUGGAGUCCACCUGUAGUAAAUUCAGUUGAUUGAACAUGAUUUGGAAAGUCAAACACCUGUCUACGUACAGGUCUCACAGCUGACAAUGCAUAUCUGAACAAAAACCACACGAGGUCGAACGAACACUUGCAGAGCUCAGAGACGGCAUCGUGUCGAAGUACAGAAGUGGGGAAGGUUCCCAAGAGCAACAUGGCCUCCGUAGUUCUUAAACGGAACAAGUUUGUAACUAGGACUCUGCUGUCCGCCCGGCAUCGGGGGAAAAGAGCUCCAGAGAACCUGCGUGAAGAUGUUAGAAACUUUCGGAGGACACCAGGCACCGCUCAUCACGGCUUAGGGACAAAACCGUCCUCGAGUGGCCCAGCCAGAGGCCGGACUUGAAUCUAAUCAAAACUCUCUGGAGAGAUCUGAAAAUGGCUGUCCACCGCCGGUCUCCAUCCAACCUGACAGAGCUAGAGAGGAUCUGCAGAGAAGUAGCCUAUGGCAGAAAAUUCCCCAAAAUCCAGGUGUGCAAAACGUUAUGGCCUGAUACCAAAGACUACUCGAGGCUGCAGUCGCAUGACUGAGUUACUUCAACUACUUACAGAGUUUAGGAUCUGAAUACUUCAAAUAAAUGUCACAAAUGACAA
This is a long non-coding RNA of Perca fluviatilis (European perch), 735 nucleotides long. RefSeq lists it as uncharacterized. The transcript is spliced from 2 exons. Lineage: Eukaryota; Metazoa; Chordata; Actinopteri; Perciformes; Percidae. The record is from RefSeq and is a predicted model, not a curated record.